RNAcentral lists this long non-coding RNA (1226 nucleotides) under Marmota monax (woodchuck). The record is from RNAcentral. Lineage: Eukaryota; Metazoa; Chordata; Mammalia; Rodentia; Sciuridae.
CUAUGUUCUACAUCCUGAGUUUAACUUCUGUCAUGUUGGUAGAUGAUUUUACUCUUUUCAUGUUGGGGCUGGAGGCCACAAGUAUCUUUUGCUCUAAACAAUCAAAAUUUAGUACCACUGAUAGUUUUAUAUUUGGAAAACUAUCUAGUGCGUGCUCUCUCUCUCUCUCUCUCUCUCUCUCUCUCUCUCUAUAUAUAUAUAUAUAUAUAUAUAUAUAUAUAUAUAAUAUAUACACACACACACACAUAUAUAUAUAUAUAGCACUAAAAUAGUUUGAUAAGUAGAUAAAUUCUACUAAACAGUGUGUUUUUAUUAUGAUAAAAGUGCUAGUUAUUUUCAUCAUAGAUAUAAUUAUAUAUCUUUUGUAAAUCUGUCUGUAUAUAACAACUGCCAAUUUCUCUUUACAGAUGAAAAAUAUUAUUUUUUUUGCUAUUUCUAGAACAUGAUAAUUCUUUUUAUUUUGCUUUCAGUUGUGACAGCUAAUUCACCUCUGGCAUUUAAAAAUUUGUCACAGGGCUGGAGUUGUAGCUCAAUGGUAGAGCAUACCUAGCUUGUUUGAGGUACUGGGUUUGAUUCUCAGCACUGCAUAUAAAUAAAUAAAUAAAUGAAUGAAUGAAUAAAAUAGAGGUCUAUCAGCAACUAAAAAUAAACAUAAAAGAUUGUCAAAAAAUUUUAAGAAUGAUAAAGUUCCUGACUCCUUUAGUCUUAUUCCCCCCAAAUAAACUUUAUUAGCAGUUUCUUAUGUUUCCUUCCAGGAAUUUUCUGUGUCUAUGGAAGCAUAUGUAAAGGUGUAUUUGUGUUUAUAAGUUUACAUAUUUAAUGUAUCCUCCUUUGUUUUACAUAUUAGGUUUUACAAUACAUUGAUACCAUAUUUUAUAACAAUGCAUAAUAUAUGUUAGUUGUAGAUAUAGUUAUACAUCUUUUGUAAAUCUGUCUUGCUCCAUGGUAGCUCAUUGUUUGAAUAAAACAUUAUUUAUUCACCUGGCUUUUAAUGAUAAAGAUUGAGGUUGUUUAGAAUUUCCUUGAAAUUGUUAACUUACAUCUGAUGUUAUUCUUGUAACAUAGGUAAAUGUCUUUAAGAGUUUAAAAGCACUGACAAAAUUAUCUUUCAAAAUAGCAGCAGCAAUUUAUAUGUGCUACAACUGUUUUAGAACACUUUCUCCUUCAUAUCUUGGCUGAUGCAUAAAAAUAAAUAGUUUAUGGUAAGUAGAUAAAUUAUACUAAAC